This 579-nucleotide ribosomal RNA is filed under the name uncultured bacterium. RNAcentral describes it as "bacterial SSU rRNA". It matches the Rfam family "Bacterial small subunit ribosomal RNA", at positions 102 to 683 of the family's 1533-position model. The record is from RNAcentral.
ACGGGUGAGUAACACGUAGGAAUCUACCCAGAAGAGGGGGACAACCCGAGGAAACUCGGGCUAAUACCGCAUAAAUUCUGAGGAAAAAAGCUGGGGCAACCUGGCGCUUUUGGAGGAGCCUGCGUCCGAUUAGCUAGUUGGUAGGGUAAAAGCCUACCAAGGCGACGAUCGGUAGCUGGUCUGAGAGGAUGAUCAGCCACACUGGGACUGAGACACGGCCCAGACUCCUACGGGAGGCAGCAGUGGGGAAUAUUGGACAAUGGGGGCAACCCUGAUCCAGCAAUACCGCGUGUGUGAAGAAGGCCUUCGGGUCGUAAAGCACUUUAGGCGGGGAAGAAGGUUGGUAUUUUAAGAGAUAACUAACUUGACGGUACCCGCAGAAUAAGCACCGGCUAACUCUGUGCCAGCAGCCGCGGUAAUACAGAGGGUGCAAGCGUUAAUCGGAUUUACUGGGCGUAAAGGGCGCGUAGGUGGUUACGUAAGUGAGAUGUGAAAGCCCCGGGCUCGACCUGGGAACUGCAUCUUAUACUGCGUGGCUGGAGUGAAGUAGAGGGUAGUGGAAUUUCCGGUGUAGCGGUG